CGUAGGGUGCAAGCGUUAAUCGGAAUUACUGGGCGUAAAGCGUGCGCAGGCGGUUAUGUAAGACCGAUGUGAAAUGCCCGGGCUUAACCUGGGAACUGCAUUUGUGACUGCAUGGCUAGAGUUUGGCAGAGGGGGGUAGAAUUCCACGUGUAGCAGUGAAAUGCGUAGAUAUGUGGAGGAACACCGAUGGCGAAGGCAGCCCCCUGGGUCAAGACUGACGCUCAUGCACGAAAGCGUGGGGAGCAAACAGG
RNAcentral lists this ribosomal RNA (251 nucleotides) under uncultured bacterium. RNAcentral's name for it is "partial 16S ribosomal RNA". It matches the Rfam family "Bacterial small subunit ribosomal RNA", at positions 526 to 776 of the family's 1533-position model. The record is from RNAcentral.